This is a transfer RNA of Plasmopara halstedii, 73 nucleotides long. It matches the Rfam family "tRNA". Rfam says of the family: Transfer RNA (tRNA) molecules are approximately 80 nucleotides in length. Their secondary structure includes four short double-helical elements and three loops (D, anti-codon, and T loops). The record is from Rfam. Lineage: Eukaryota; Oomycota; Peronosporomycetes; Peronosporales; Peronosporaceae.
GCUCGCGUGGCCCAAUGGAUACGGCGCUGCCCUCCUAAGGCAGAGAUUGCGGGUUCAAGUCCCGUCGUGAGUA